RNAcentral lists this long non-coding RNA (239 nucleotides) under Gossypium raimondii (Peruvian cotton). RNAcentral's name for it is "long non-coding RNA (GRAI_LNC005740)". Lineage: Eukaryota; Viridiplantae; Streptophyta; Magnoliopsida; Malvales; Malvaceae. The record is from RNAcentral.
GAGGAAUAAAAAAAGAAAACGAUUGGCAGUUUUUUAAAGGUGGCUUACUAUUUUUUUUCUUUUGAUUAUUUUUUACUUAUUUACGAUUUUAAAAAAAGGGAGAAGGUGAUACCACUGCGAAUUUUAUUUAUUUUAUUUAGCCCAUCCGCCUUUUAAUGUUUUUGUAAUUAAGUUUUUUUUUAUUUUUUAAUUUACCCUUUUAUUUAUUUUUAUUUCAAUUUGGUCUAAUUUGAACGGCG